Molecule: ribosomal RNA, 305 nt
Filed under: uncultured bacterium
Lineage: Bacteria
Description: bacterial SSU rRNA
Rfam family: Bacterial small subunit ribosomal RNA
Source: RNAcentral
GUGUACCUACGGGAGGCAGCAGUGGGGAAUAUUGGACAAUGGGGGGAACCCUGAUCCAGCGACGCCGCGUGAGUGAAGAAGUAUUUCGGUAUGUAAAGCUCUAUCAGCAGGGAAGAAAGAAAUGACGGUACCUGACUAAGAAGCCCCGGCUAACUACGUGCCAGCAGCCGCGGUAAUACGUAGGGGGCAAGCGUUAUCCGGAUUUAUUGGGUGUAAAGGGUGCGUAGGCGGCUUCUUAAGUCUGUAGUCUAAGCCCGGAGCUUAACUCCGGUUCGCUACAGAAACUGAUUAGCUUGAGUAUGGUA